This 211-nucleotide long non-coding RNA is filed under the name Capsicum annuum. RNAcentral describes it as "long non-coding RNA (CANN_LNC009711)". Lineage: Eukaryota; Viridiplantae; Streptophyta; Magnoliopsida; Solanales; Solanaceae. The record is from RNAcentral.
AAAAAUGAGUAUCGAUCUAAAGUUCAUCAUUCAAGGUAUGUGGGGUUUUUCAACAAGAACUCUCUUUUGUUCUUGUGCCCAAAAGUAAUUUUCUUUACAAAGGCAUGAUUUUUAUUUGAUUUUUAUGAAUUUGAAGCAUGAACCCAUAUCUUAUGAUGAUUAUUAUGAAAUCUUGAUGUUUAUGAUUUUGAAAGAUGAAUUUACAUGUGUG